UACGUAGGGGGCAAGCGUUGUCCGGAAUCAUUGGGCGUAAAGAGCGUGUAGGCGGUCCGGUAAGUCGGCUGUGAAAGUCCAAGGCUCAACCUUGGGAUGCCGGUCGAUACUGCCGGACUAGAGUUCGGAAGAGGCGAGUGGAAUUCCCGGUGUAGCGGUGAAAUGCGCAGAUAUCGGGAGGAACACCUGUGGCGAAAGCGGCUCACUGGACCAUUACUGACGCUGAGGCGCGAAAGCUAGGGGAGCAAACAGG
Molecule: ribosomal RNA, 253 nt
Filed under: uncultured bacterium
Lineage: Bacteria
Description: partial 16S ribosomal RNA
Rfam family: Bacterial small subunit ribosomal RNA
Source: RNAcentral